ACGGGGUGCAGCAGGCGCGAAAACUUUACAAUGCGGGAAACCGUGAUAAGGGAACUCCGAGUGCCCGUAAAAUCGGGCUGUCCAUCUGUUUAAAUAACAGGUGAAGAAAGGGCCGGGCAAGACCGGUGCCAGCCGCCGCGGUAAUACCGGCGGCUCGAGUGGUGGCCACUAUUACUGGGCUUAAAGCGUUCGUAGCUGGUUUGUUAAGUCUCUGGGGAAAUCUGCCGGCUCAACCGGCAGGCGUUCCAGGGAUACUGGCAGACUAGGGACCGGGAGAGGUGAGGGGUACUCCAGGGGUAGGAGUGAAAUCCUGUAAUCCUUGGGGGACCACCUGUGGCGAAGGCGCCUCACCAGAACGGCUCCGACAGUGAGGGACGAAAGCUGGGGGAGCAAACCGGAUUAGAUACCCGGGUAGUCCCAGCCGUAAACGAUGCGCGUUAGGUGUAUCGGUGACCACGAGUCACCGAGGUGCCGAAGAGAAAUCGUGAAACGUGCCGCCUGGGAAGUACGGUCGCAAGGCUGAAACUUAAAGGAAUUGGCGGGGGAGCAC
This 550-nucleotide ribosomal RNA is filed under the name uncultured archaeon. RNAcentral's name for it is "bacterial SSU rRNA". It matches the Rfam family "Archaeal small subunit ribosomal RNA", at positions 325 to 879 of the family's 1478-position model. The record is from RNAcentral.